Molecule: long non-coding RNA, 727 nt
Filed under: Solanum tuberosum (potato)
Lineage: Eukaryota; Viridiplantae; Streptophyta; Magnoliopsida; Solanales; Solanaceae
Description: long non-coding RNA (STUB_LNC008660)
Source: RNAcentral
CUCCUCCCAUACCUGGGACUCGACCUUAAACAAUUUCCUUCGUAUCGACCCCAACCUGAUGUAAAUAUUAUGGCCUAAUGUAACAAUCACUUUCUUUUCUCUGACUAUAUUUCUUCUCUUCAUCAUUUUCUAUAUAUGUCUAAAUUUACACAAAUUAUUAGUCAGUUUGACCCUCGUACUCCAAAUCAAACCAUGUAAGUUGUAAAAGGGAGUUAUAUUAAAAAAAAUCAUAAAUAUAUAAUUACAUCCUAAAAUUAUGUAUAUGUUUAAAUAUUGAAAUUUAUCACCGAUAGACUAAAAUAUUUAGAUUUUUCAAAGUUUAAUUGGUUACCUGAUGUAAGACAUGUUGAAGUGUUUGAGGCAAUAGAGUACAUAGAGGGUGGACAUCAAAUUCACAAAGCUCACACCUAUAAAACAACCCUUCAAUAGAAUCACAACAAACAUUGCAGACGCGGUCCAAUUGACUAUUGCCAUGUGGCAUGCGGGUAACGAGCUUGAGCGAAUGGAAAGGAUGUAAGAACGAGGAAAGAUUCAUUGGACAUGUUCCACAAUAUUCGUGUAGAUUGAAAUCACAUUCAUGGCAGUUAAAUCUUUUACCUAUGCCAAGGAUUUUGCAACCAUCACAUACAUAUUUGGUGUUGGAAUCAAAUAAUGUUAAUGAAUGGUUUGGGUGUAUCAAUUGUUGGAUUGGGUUCUUGUGGAUCGGUGCCAUUUCUUGAAAAAUAAA